Molecule: ribosomal RNA, 257 nt
Filed under: uncultured bacterium
Lineage: Bacteria
Description: partial 16S ribosomal RNA
Rfam family: Bacterial small subunit ribosomal RNA
Source: RNAcentral
AACGGGUGAGUAACGCGUGAGGAACCUGCCUCAAAGAGGGGGACGAACAGUUGGAAACGACUGCUAAUACCGCAUAAGCCCACGGGUCGGCAUCGACCAGAGGGAAAAGGAGCAAUCCGCUUUGAGAUGGCCUCGCGUCCGAUUAGCUAGUUGGUGAGGUAAUGGCCCACCAAGGCGACGAUCGGUAGCCGGACUGAGAGGUUGAACGGCCACAUUGGGACUGAGACACGGCCCAGACUCCUACGGGAGGCAGCAUG